UACGGGGGGGGCAAGCGUUGUUCGGAAUUACUGGGCGUAAAGGGUGCGUAGGCGGUGCGCUAAGUUGGAUGUGAAAACUCUGGGCUUAACCCAGAGACUGCAUUCAAAACUGACGUGCUAGAGUUCUGGAGGGGGUAGCGGAAUUCCUGGUGUAGCGGUGAAAUGCGUAGAUAUCAGGAGGAACACCGGUGGCGAAGGCGGCUACCUGGACAGAGUCUGACGCUGAGGCACGAAAGCUAGGGGAGCAAACAGG
This 253-nucleotide ribosomal RNA is filed under the name uncultured bacterium. Its description in RNAcentral is "partial 16S ribosomal RNA". It matches the Rfam family "Bacterial small subunit ribosomal RNA", at positions 524 to 776 of the family's 1533-position model. The record is from RNAcentral.